AGCGUAGGCGGUUAAUUAAGUUAGAUGUGAAAUACCCGGGCUUAACUUGGGGGGUGCAUCUAAUACUGGUAAACUAGAGUACAGGAGAGGAAAGCGGAAUUCCUAGUGUAGCGGUGAAAUGCAUAGAUAUUAGGAGGAACAUCGGUGGCGAAGGCGGCUUUCUGGACUGACACUGACGCUGAGGCUCGAAAGCGUGGGGAGCAAACA
Molecule: ribosomal RNA, 207 nt
Filed under: uncultured bacterium
Lineage: Bacteria
Description: partial 16S ribosomal RNA
Rfam family: Bacterial small subunit ribosomal RNA
Source: RNAcentral